GAAAAAAAAUCACAUAACAUUUCAUUACAUAUAAGAAAAUAACCAUCACUGGAAGUUAACCAAUCAAAUUUCUCCCCUUAUUUUAUCUGUCUACAAGGUUUAGUCACCAUGUAACCUCAAGAUUACAAAAUAUUCUAUAGAAAUCCCAAAUAAAAAAAUAAUGGUGCUUUGAAAUACCCAAGACAUAUGUUUAUGACACAG
This 201-nucleotide long non-coding RNA is filed under the name Mytilus galloprovincialis (Mediterranean mussel). Lineage: Eukaryota; Metazoa; Mollusca; Bivalvia; Mytilida; Mytilidae. The record is from RNAcentral.